RNAcentral lists this long non-coding RNA (3728 nucleotides) under Pan troglodytes (chimpanzee). RNAcentral's name for it is "long non-coding RNA NONPTRT009167". The record is from RNAcentral. Lineage: Eukaryota; Metazoa; Chordata; Mammalia; Primates; Hominidae.
GCGCGACCCCGCUGCGGUGGGAGCCGGACCCAGGCAGCCACGCCCACCAGUCUUAAUGGGGGACACCAGAGGGGGCUAGAAUGGGGGGCGGGAUGCUGGUGACACCAGCGGUGGCUAGGAUGUGCUGGCACGGCCCUGGAGACACUUUUAUCUCAUUUAGUGACCUCAGGAUUUUCGUUUCGCUCCCCCAGCCUGCACUUUCUCCUCUUCGAACACUCGUCCACCCUGCUCCAGCCAGAGCUGCACCUUCUCCGACCCGGUAUCUCAAAAGGAGCUCGAACUCCUUUUCCUCUGGGGAGGAGAAAGAAUGGGUGGCCUCCGCGUCACUCUGUUUCCCUUCCUCCUCCUCAGUCCUGAUAGAAUCGAAGGGCUGCCCUUUUUCCAGAAACAUAAUAACUGCAUUCCAGCUGAUUCCGAUGGGGGCAGGGGGCGGAGUAGUGGAAGCCCAUUUUUAUUUGAAACCUAUCCCUAUAUUUUCCUUCCCAGGAACCCCUGGAUAAAGACCAGCUCAACCAUCGCUGAGAAAACAGACCUAGGCUUCCCAGGGCGGUUAACCCGCCGGCCUCUGGGCAGAGACUGUAAGUUGGGGUCGUGUUUGGGAGACUCGGGACCCUAUUUCCAAGGAGAACUGUGGGGGACAUGUUUAUGUUUGUUGUUUUCAAAAUCAAGCAAAGGAAACAACAGCCAAUUAAAAUGAAAUAUUUUUAUUCCCCUCGCACGUCGUCAGUGAUUUGCCCCCAGGGAUUCACAAUUUUCCCAAGCCUGUUAACGGGUGACAAUGAGUGAGUGCCUCCUGUAAUUUAAUUUUCCUGUCACACUAAAUAGAGCUACAUUGUAAACCUUAGAUCUACUCUUACUGAUAGGAUCGCCUUGUUUUGCCAUUUGCACCAUAAAGACCCCCAAAAGGGACACUGUAUUGUGACCUCUACUCUUGAAUUAUUCAAGAACUUAAUGACAUUUUCCAUUUUAAAAAGGGAACUAAUUGCCAUUGAUGCAAAGCAUGUGACCUUCUGCGGGUACCCAGUAUGAGAAUGUAACCAUCUGUAUGUGCAUAGAAGGCUGAAGAAGGCGGGUGCAAACAGGAAAAACACAUGCAAUCCUAACGAGCUCAAAAUGGACACUGGAAUCAAGCGUAGGGUUUAAUUUCACCCCAAACCGUGACGCAUAGCUCCACAAAAUUCCCUUCACCAGACCUAAAGUCUGCAUAAAACCUCGCAUCAAUUCAGGCUCGUUUUGGGGGACAUGACAUGACAUUUUAGCUAGGACUGGAACAUUAAAAAUUUUGAAAGCCAGUAUGCCUUUAUAAAUGUAAAAUCACUUUGAUGUCAAGCAAAAUAUCUAAUAAUUUGCCUCCCUUCUUUUGUGGCUCUUUAAAAUUAUUUAUUUCCUCAAAAAGGAAAAGAAAACCCCAUAAAUUGGGAUGGAACCGCAUCUCAGUAUUUGCUGUUUGAAUCAGUCUUGAGUUUCUAGGAAAGCCGUUAUUGAAAUUCUUCACUAACUAGAAUUAUCUCGCUUCAAAUUACUUGGAAAUGGAUGCUUAUCUUUUUUUUUUUUCAAAGAAAAGACAAAACAAAAUAAAACAACAACAAAAAACUCCCAGUGUGUUUCCUACUCUUCUUUUUCUUGGAGGAAAGCAAAGGGAGAGAAAUGGACUUCACCAGUGGUCUUUGGCUUCAUCAAUUCACAGGAAAUGGCAUCAAGAUGGUUCAACUAAGACAUGAUCACUAAAAACAUUAUAAUAAUACCUUUUUGAAAAACUCAGUUUCUCCUGUUUACUAAAUAUUUAUUUCAUCAACAUGGGCUGCAUUCCACUGUGUCAGGAUUCUGCAUGUGGGUGGAGCACUGUUCCGGCCUGAGAAGAUGGUUCUGAGGCCACUUAGCAAGACAUUUUCCAGCAUGAGCAGGUUUCUCUGUGGAAAUAGUGACACCUGUUCUGGUGUGUUGUCUUUCCUCAGGGAACUUAAGGGGUACUAAGCUCCUGAAAAUGUUCUUUAUGCUGGUUGAAGCUCUUAUGUCACUGUACUGAUUCCCUACGAUGCAGAUUUGAAUCACAGAGUAAUUAAAAUAUGGAUCAAAUAAGGCUGGGGUUCACCAAGGCUGAAAGCUGUAGCCAUUCAAGGCAUCAUUUCUGUCAUGAAAAUAUAGGACCUUUUCAAAACAUGCCUUCAGGAAGGUGUUCCCUUUUCAAACAAAAGUCUAAUGACUGCAUAACUCUUCUUGACCACAUCUUACACUUUCUCUAGACUUGCUUAUUUACAGCUACUGGAACAAAAAGAUGAAAUGAAUAAAGCACACUGAUUGUCCUAAGAGUCUUCUGUGACUAAAAGCACAUGAGCUUCUCCCCAGGCUGAGCUUUGACCCUCCCAAGCAUUUCCCCAAAGGCCAUGACACUGCAUCAGAUUGCUCCUGGACACUUUCCUCAGAGUUUUCAACAAAUAUAAACUGAGGAAUGGAGCACAGCACCAGAUUUGCUAAUCAAGAGGCAAUGGUCCCAGUCCAAAUGGGUGCUGUGUGUGAAUACAGAGCUCAGGAGAAGGGAAGGAGGUGUGUGAACAUCAGGAAUUGCAAAAUCUUGCUGAACCAAUAGACCAACAGCCAUUAACAUUUAUCAAUGCAAAGAUCCUAAAAUAUACAAGUGUGGAGUUGUCCUGCCCUAAGAGCUGAAGCUGUGACAAUCACGCUGCCAUGGUAGAUAUUUAAGCUCCCCUGAGGUUACUGAAUCUAACAAUGAAUAAACAAUGAAGAGUAGCUAAUUUUUGGAAAUCUCUUUCUAUGACCGGAAAAUAUUCACAAACUCAGAGUGAUUGUUUGGGGUGAAAGAUGGUCCCAUGCUUUGUGGGCCUCUCUUUGCUAUCUAUACAACGUUGGAAAUGAACCCCUCCCUUACAGGAAAGUGAAUAGCAACCAAGGUGAGCCCACCCUGGGAGGGCAGAGUGGGUGUACUUUCCUCUAAGAGCCCUGAAAACAACAGGGCACACAAACAGCCACAGCACCCUCAACAAUGCCCCACCAUCUGCCCACCAGGGCACACAGAUUCACGCAGAUUCAGUGACACAUUCCAAAAAAAGGGAAUUAGGGAGGACCCAUGGCAUGGCUAAUGGGGAGAGAGCUUUACUACUUUUAGCGCUAUUGCUAAUUAUUGGAGCAAAGAAAGGCAUACAAGGAAUGGAACCCAACCUGUUUAAAGUAAUAAAUGUCAACCCUAAAGUGCAUGGAACCAUCUCUCCUUCCCUUUUGAGGACUGUGUGCUUCACAAGCUGGGCGUUUGCUGCAUGGGGUUUUCUAAUGUAAUGUGAAUUUUCAAUGUGCUUUGUCUCUGUAGAGUGGCUUUAAAAAGCCCUUGAAGUCCUCAGCUUUAAAUCCAUGCUAAUAGGGGAAGUCUUUUUUUUUUUUUUUUGGAGGUGAGGAGCUUUGGUUGGGAGAAACAUUGACCCAGACUGCACUCUGGGUAAACUAGGGCAAAAGACCUGAUAUCGUCUGCAGGGUACUUAUUAACCACUGUUCAUUUGCAGGAUCAAUAUUUCCAGCAAAGGAGUCAACACUCAAGAUACACUGCUACGUCUCACUUUUUCCUUGACACAACAAUUUAUUUUAUAAAUGCAUCUGCUGGAGAAGAAAAGGCAGUACCAAGGAUUGUGUCUUUUAUCUCCAGGAUAUGCAAAGCGCAUUUAUUUUCAGCUUUUAUCUCUGGAAUUGUAUGUUGAUCCCAUACAUAUAGAUUGAUUUUG